Molecule: long non-coding RNA, 425 nt
Filed under: Glycine max (soybean)
Lineage: Eukaryota; Viridiplantae; Streptophyta; Magnoliopsida; Fabales; Fabaceae
Description: long non-coding RNA (GMAX_LNC003911)
Source: RNAcentral
UUUGUCUCAUGGAUAAUGUCCACAUUGUUGAAUUUUGAAAAUUCCAACUUCGUGGACCGAUGCUCUUCUCCGCUUCCUCUAUGCUGGCUCUCCCUUCUAGUUCCUUUUCCCUCGCCAUCCUCUCCACCAACCUCAUCAGAAAAACCAUUGAGACUCACAUUCUCAUUUUCAGAAUCUGAUGACAAGAUGUUUGCUCCAAAAACACUGUUGAGACUCCCUCCUUAUCAUUGGUUUGUUCUUCUCUACUUUCGCCUCUCCAGCAUUUACACUCUUCUGAUGAUAUCGGAUUUUCUUCUAUCGCUCGUACGAGAUAUACCUCUCCUUUAAUCUUAAUUUGUGCGCUAAAAUUUACAAGCAUUGGUGAUGCCACCAACACCAGUAAUUUGGCAUAGCUCACAUUUACCAACAUGGCAAACGUCGCGUCC